This 539-nucleotide long non-coding RNA is filed under the name Glycine max (soybean). RNAcentral describes it as "long non-coding RNA (GMAX_LNC002860)". Lineage: Eukaryota; Viridiplantae; Streptophyta; Magnoliopsida; Fabales; Fabaceae. The record is from RNAcentral.
GAGUUACACUGUCUUCUUAUCAUAAAUUUUUCUAGUGAUAAGUUCAUUGACUUUCACAAAUUGUCUCUUUACAUUUCGAUACAUACACUAUUUUCUAUUACAAUAAAUGCAUGGCUACCAUAAUUUCUGAUAGGUUCACAUUGUAAAAUUCUUAAAGUGAUGCAACAACAACAACAAUGAUAGAUAGCAUCGUUUAAUAAAAUUGGAUUUGGUUUAUGGUAAGAGAUUGGGACACAUAACAUGACCUUGAGGGUGAGAGAAGUCCAGGAGUGGUCGGUGCCGGAGAGUGUAGAAUUUAAGUGGUCGUAGUGUUCCUGAAACGACAAAAGGGAAAUGUCGUUUUAAUGCGACUUAUUACAAAUUACAAAUUCGAGGGGAAUGGAAUAAAAGGGAACCUGGAAGAGUUUGGUGAGGUUGUUGAGAAGGGAAGAAGAGGGAGAGGGAGAUGCUUCACGAAGGAGAGAGUGUCCUCGUCCUUCUUCUUCUUCUUCUCCAAUGUCGUUUAGGAGAUCUCCAAUGCAUAGAAGGGGUCCUCUGAU